Molecule: long non-coding RNA, 900 nt
Organism: Esox lucius (northern pike)
Lineage: Eukaryota; Metazoa; Chordata; Actinopteri; Esociformes; Esocidae
Exons: 6
Source: RefSeq, a predicted model, not a curated record
AGAUGAGAUUGGAGGUGUGGCCUCGUGAGACUCGAUGUACCUCUACCUACUAUGAGAAUAAGCUGCAACAGUGUGGUCGGACAACAUACAAUAAUUCAAGAAGGAAACUUGAGAUUAACCAGAUUAGGAGAGGACAGGAAAUCCUUUUCUGGCUCUACCCAAUGAAGUUUGGAUUAUAUUGGGACAACUAAGUGAGACUGUUCAUCUAUAGUCAUAUUGAUAUAAAGACUGGUUUAUUUCUAGAGGAUGCACAUGUAAAACUGUCUGGGAAUCUCCGGGUUAACAGAUUUUUAUACACUCCUAACGGGGGUUUUCACAAUGCUCCCUUCACAACUUUAUAGAUGGUACCUGAAACCUGGAGAUCACUUAAGUUAUAAUCUGGAGUAUGUUGGACUGUCUGUGUGAGGCUGUACAUCUGUCAUGUUGCCCAGGAAUCCAGAUGCAGAAACUAGUCUGCAGCCCACGUUUUUGUCCAUCUCAAUGUGACCAUUACAACAGAUGAGAAACGGAUCAGCAUAGAGAUUGGUGGUCAUUUUCCCCCUGGAGAAGCUUCUGUCAGACUUAACAUUACAAACCAGGCUUCACCUCAUAAUGGACAGACCAAAGCUCAGGAUAUUGAUCAGGAGGAACCAAUGGAGUGGGAGCCUUAUGAGUGUGUGGACAGCCAGCUGGGUACUGAUGGAAAGGUCUAUAUAGAUUGCAGAUUCCAAAGGACGUCUCACAUGAAUCUACAGCCAAACCAGACACCUCUUGGAGGGAUUAGAACUAAGGAUAUGAAUGGAGAUGAAGAGGAACCCAUGGAGGAGGGCUGAGGAAAAGUGUGAUCAGGACCCUCAUUGCCCAAUAGCUUAGGGAAAUGUAAUGUUGCUGUAAAGAAUUCAUUUAUUACCAUAUCCUUAU